GCGCGGGUGGUCCAGCGGCAAGACCCAGGCCUUCCAAGCCUGAGACGCGGGUUCGACUCCCGCCCCGCGCA
This 71-nucleotide transfer RNA is filed under the name Thermoplasmata archaeon. Its description in RNAcentral is "tRNA-Gly". It matches the Rfam family "tRNA". From Rfam's summary of the family: Transfer RNA (tRNA) molecules are approximately 80 nucleotides in length. Their secondary structure includes four short double-helical elements and three loops (D, anti-codon, and T loops). Lineage: Archaea; Methanobacteriati; Thermoplasmatota; Thermoplasmata. The record is from RNAcentral.